This 798-nucleotide ribosomal RNA is filed under the name uncultured Pelagibacteraceae bacterium. RNAcentral's name for it is "bacterial SSU rRNA". It matches the Rfam family "Bacterial small subunit ribosomal RNA", at positions 34 to 880 of the family's 1533-position model. The record is from RNAcentral. Lineage: Bacteria; Pseudomonadati; Pseudomonadota; Alphaproteobacteria; Candidatus Pelagibacterales; Candidatus Pelagibacteraceae.
CGCUGGCGGCACGCCUUAUACAUGCAAGUCGAACGAAGUAGCAAUACUUAGUGGCAGACGGGUGAGUAACAUGUAGGUAUCUUCCCUUUGGUGAGGAAUAACACGAGGAAACUUGUGCUAAUACCUCAUAAGUCUUUACGGAGAAAGCUUUAUGCGCCGAAGGAUGAGCCUGCACUUGAUUAGUUUGUUGGUGGGGUAAUGGCCUACCAAGACUUUGAUCUAUAGCUGAUCUGAGAGGAUGAUCAGCCACAUUGGGACUGAGACACGGCCCAAACUCCUACGGGAGGCAGCAGUAGGGAAUAUUGCACAAUGGAGGAAACUCUGAUGCAGCGAUGCCGCGUGAGUGAAGAAGGCCUUUGGGUUGUAAAGCUCUUUCGUCGGGGAAGAAAAUGACUGUACCCGAAUAAGAAGGUCCGGCUAACUUCGUGCCAGCAGCCGCGGUAAUACGAAGGGACCUAGCGUAGUUCGGAAUUACUGGGCUUAAAGAGUUCGUAGGUGGUUAAAAAAGUUGGUGGUGAAAUCCCAGAGCUUAACUCUGGAACUGCCAUCAAAACUUUUUAGCUAGAGUAUGAUAGAGGAAAGCAGAAUUUCUAGUGUAGAGGUGAAAUUCGUAGAUAUUAGAAAGAAUACCAAUUGCGAAGGCAGCUUUCUGGAUCAUUACUGACGCUGAGGAACGAAAGCAUGGGUAGCGAAGAGGAUUAGAUACCCUCGUAGUCCAUGCCGUAAACGAUGUGUGUUAGACGUUGGAAAUUUAUUUUCAGUGUCGCAGCGAAAGCAUUAAACACACCGCCUGGGGAG